GGUUUCUAUACUUGCACCUUUCUUUUUUAAACAAUUCUGUAUAUGAUUGAGAAGUUUGUUCAUUAUUAAGUGAUUGAAUGUGCCAACGUUGAUUUUAGAACAAAAUUGUAGCGAGUCCCUUAGCACUGUGUGAUUGUUUCUAUCACCAAGUUAUAAUGGGGGCUGGUGCUUAUUGUGUAUGAUUUUUAUCUGAUCAUCUCCUUAAUACAUGGAUAUACUUGUAAUUAUUUGAGUGUUGGGACUAUUGAAACACUAACAUUUCAAACUUAAUUCAAUUUCUUACCAGAAUGGAGGAUAAAAGAUUUACUUGGAUAAGAUUUUAAGUAAAAUGAAUGGAUUUCUGUGGAAGUCACCUAAAUGGUUGAUUUUUACAAAAUACAUC
Molecule: unclassified non-coding RNA, 382 nt
Filed under: Hevea brasiliensis (rubber tree)
Lineage: Eukaryota; Viridiplantae; Streptophyta; Magnoliopsida; Malpighiales; Euphorbiaceae
Source: RNAcentral